RNAcentral lists this ribosomal RNA (303 nucleotides) under uncultured bacterium. RNAcentral describes it as "partial 16S ribosomal RNA". It matches the Rfam family "Bacterial small subunit ribosomal RNA", at positions 507 to 807 of the family's 1533-position model. The record is from RNAcentral.
AGCAGCAGCCGCGGUAAUACGAAGGGUGCAAGCGUUAAUCGGAAUUACUGGGCGUAAAGCGUGCGUAGGCGGUUUGUUAAGUCUGCUGUGAAAUCCCCGGGCUCAACCUGGGAAUGGCAGUGGAUACUGGCAAGCUAGAGUGUGUCAGAGGAUGGUGGAAUUCCCGGUGUAGCGGUGAAAUGCGUAGAGAUCGGGAGGAACAUCAGUGGCGAAGGCGGCCAUCUGGGACAACACUGACGCUGAGGCACGAAAGCGUGGGGAGCAAACAGGAUUAGAUACCCGUGUAGUCCCUGUCUCUUAUAC